RNAcentral lists this small nuclear RNA (22 nucleotides) under Arabidopsis thaliana (thale cress). RNAcentral describes it as "snRNA_04457". The record is from RNAcentral. Lineage: Eukaryota; Viridiplantae; Streptophyta; Magnoliopsida; Brassicales; Brassicaceae.
UAGUAGGGUUGAAGAUGCCCUU